GACGAACGCUGGCGGCGUGCCUAAUACAUGCAAGUAGAACGCUGAAGAGAGGAGCUUGCUCUUCUUGGAUGAGUUGCGAACGGGUGAGUAACGCGUAGGUAACCUGACUUGUAGCGGGGGAUAACUAUUGGAAACGAUAGCUAAUACCGCAUAACAAUGGAUGACACAUGUCCUUUAUUUGAAAGGGGCAAUUGUUCCACUACAAGAUGGACCUGCGUUGUAUUAGCUAGUAGGUGAGGUAAUGGCUCACCUAGGCGACGAUACAUAGCCGACCUGAGAGGGUGAUCGGCCACACUGGGACUGAGACACGGCCCAGACUCCUACGGGAGGCAGCAGUAGGGAAUCUUCGGCAAUGGGGGCAACCCUGACCGAGCAACGCCGCGUGAGUGAAGAAGGUUUUCGGAUCGUAAAGAUCUGUUGUAAGUCAAGAACGGGUGUGAGAGUGGAAAGUUCACACUGUGACGGUAGCUUAACAGAAAGGGACGGCUAACUACGUG
RNAcentral lists this ribosomal RNA (497 nucleotides) under uncultured bacterium. RNAcentral's name for it is "partial 16S ribosomal RNA". It matches the Rfam family "Bacterial small subunit ribosomal RNA", at positions 28 to 507 of the family's 1533-position model. The record is from RNAcentral.